Long non-coding RNA from Gallus gallus (chicken), 729 nucleotides. Lineage: Eukaryota; Metazoa; Chordata; Aves; Galliformes; Phasianidae. The record is from Ensembl.
ACUGCUCUGGCUGGAUGAGUGUUUUACAGCCUUAUUUUUUUUUAAGAUGCGUUUUAAUUUACCACUUUAUGCCUAAGUCGGUGCUUUCUGUUUGUUGCCUUUUGAGAGGCGGUCUAAACCACGCUUGGCCCCCUAAUUUAACGUUACUGACAGCGUGCCAUCCGAAGCCAAGCUUUUUAUAAAGCUGCAGAUCAAUAGAAAUGCUACAAUUAAUUAAAGCCGAGUCCGGUGGAAAGAGCUGCUUUUAAACAAGGGAAUGUUCCCUGCAGGACUUGCAACCUCAGAUCCCGCAGCCGUGAGCGCCUGCAGUGAGCCGACUGGAAACAAAAGUGGAACCGACUUAAUUGGGUUUUCGUGGCUCUGGCGAAGUAUAAAGAGCAACAGCAAAUAGAGCUACAGAGGACAACAAAUGUUUCCCAGCCUUCCUACUGUAACACCCUGAUCCAGCCCAGCCUACUGGUGGGAAGGAAAAAUACGAUGAGUUUAAACCGCAGAAGGGAACAGAUUCAGUUCUCAAGUGCCUCUUCAUUGACCGUGGACCCCAACUUGUGUAUAAAUGGGUUGGAGCCUUGCCUCUUCCGCCUCUCUAUGGCAGAGAGCACCGUAGGUUCCUUCUGAGCUACGUUCAGCCUGACAAAUAUGCCCUGUUUUGUUUGUUCCGGGAUUCCAAGCUUUUUCAAGUGAUAGGUUUUAUAGCGUGGCGUGUUUAUAAAGACAAAAACAGGACAG